RNAcentral lists this ribosomal RNA (571 nucleotides) under uncultured bacterium. Its description in RNAcentral is "bacterial SSU rRNA". It matches the Rfam family "Bacterial small subunit ribosomal RNA", at positions 145 to 714 of the family's 1533-position model. The record is from RNAcentral.
AGUCAGUAGAAAUGUUGAAUAAUACCCCAUACGAUCUUAUUGUAUCAUUACAUAAAGAAGAAAGCUUCGGCGGUAGAAGAUGGGCAUGCGUCCUAUUAGUUAGUUGGUGAGGUAACGGCUCACCAAGACUACGAUAGGUAGGGGCCCUGAGAGGGGGAUCCCCCACACUGGUACUGAGACACGGACCAGACUCCUACGGGAGGCAGCAGUGAGGAAUAUUGGACAAUGGAGGCAACUCUGAUCCAGCCAUGCCGCGUGCAGGAAGACUGCCCUAUGGGUUGUAAACUGCUUUUAUACAGGAAGAAACCUACUUACGUGUAAGUAGCUGACGGUACUGUAAGAAUAAGGAUCGGCUAACUCCGUGCCAGCAGCCGCGGUAAUACGGAGGAUCCAAGCGUUAUCCGGAAUCAUUGGGUUUAAAGGGUCCGUAGGUGGUUUAUUAAGUCAGAGGUGAAAUCCCAUAGCUUAACUAUGGAACUGCCUUUGAUACUGAUAGACUUGAGUUAUUGUGAAGUGGUUAGAAUGUGUAGUGUAGCGGUGAAAUGCAUAGAUAUUACACAGAAUACCGAUU